GGAGUCUGGGCCGUGUCUCAGUCCCAAUGUGGCCGUUCAACCUCUCAGUCCGGCUACUGAUCGUCGACUUGGUGGGCCGUUACCUCACCAACUAUCUAAUCAGACGCGAGCCCAUCUCUGAGCGAUAAAUCUUUGAUAGCCAAAAGAUGCCAUUCAGCUAUGUUAUGAGGUAUUACCAUCCGUUUCCAGAAGCUAUCCCUCUCUCAGAGGCAGGUUGCUCACGUGUUACUCACCCGUCCGCCACUAAGAAUAAAGACGAAUCCUUAUUCUCCGUUCGACUUGCAUGUGUUAAGCGUGCCGCCAGCGUCGUCUCGAGCCACGGAUCAAACUACU
This 333-nucleotide ribosomal RNA is filed under the name uncultured Oscillospiraceae bacterium. Its description in RNAcentral is "partial 16S ribosomal RNA". The record is from RNAcentral. Lineage: Bacteria; Bacillati; Bacillota; Clostridia; Eubacteriales; Oscillospiraceae.